This 68-nucleotide transfer RNA is filed under the name Marmota monax (woodchuck). Its description in RNAcentral is "tRNA.Ala". Lineage: Eukaryota; Metazoa; Chordata; Mammalia; Rodentia; Sciuridae. The record is from RNAcentral.
GUUGUGGCUCAGUGGCAGAGGGCUCGCCUAGCACGUGCGAGGCCCUGGGUUCAAUCCUCAGCACCACA